Ostrea edulis (European flat oyster) is the source of this 385-nucleotide long non-coding RNA. RefSeq lists it as uncharacterized. The transcript is spliced from 3 exons. NCBI's taxonomy places the organism in Eukaryota, Metazoa, Mollusca, Bivalvia, Ostreida, Ostreidae. The record is from RefSeq and is a predicted model, not a curated record.
AUGCUUUGUUUCUCUGUAGAGCCGGAGUAACGCACGACUUUGGAUUGUGUUUUAUCAUCACUGUUCAUGGUAACCAGGAGAUCAUCAGAGGCGGUACGGCAGACACCGAGAGGUCUCCACCCCUGUAGUGUGAUCACGGUCUUUGUGUGAAGGCACGUAUACGUUUGAAAAUACCCGACCCAUUCUACCAAGCAAAUUGAAAGGAAUCUCAUUUGUGGAUGUGUAUUCAACACUCAUUGAAGAGUAGGAAGACCUACCUGAACAAUAUUUCCUCUACAUAUAUCAUCGAAUGCACUUGGUCACGUGGGAUAGUGUGAUGAUCUUGAGCAGUGAAAUCUUGUCAAUAAAAGUUGUCUUUUCGAGAAUAAAUGAAAUGUAAUUGCAU